UACAGAGGUCUCAAGCGUUGUUCGGAUUCAUUGGGCGUAAAGGGUGCGUAGGUGGCGCUUGUAAGUCGGGUGUGAAAUUUCGGACGGCUUAACUCCGGAAACUGCAUUCGAUACUGCGGUGCUUGGAGGACUGGAGAGGAGGACUGGAAUUCAUGGUGUAGCAGUGAAAUGCGUAGAGAUCAUGAGGAAGACCAGUGGCGAAGGCGGGUCGUCUCGGACGAGUUCCUGACGCUGAGCACGAAAGGCCAGGGGAGGCAAAACGGG
This 264-nucleotide ribosomal RNA is filed under the name uncultured bacterium. Its description in RNAcentral is "partial 16S ribosomal RNA". It matches the Rfam family "Bacterial small subunit ribosomal RNA", at positions 524 to 776 of the family's 1533-position model. The record is from RNAcentral.